GGCAUCUGAUGUUUCAGUUCAUGGGUGUAGUAUACUGCUUAUGGUAAAAAUUUAUUCCCGGAAGUUAUGCCUUUAAUUCCAAAUAUCUUGUAGGCGAGUUAGCCUUGAUAAAUUCCUUUAUUUUGGAACUUUUUAGCUCUGCCGUCCACCUCUUGUGACCCCAACUUCCCUAGGCCUACUUUUGGUGGUAUGGUCAUGAGGACCAUAUUGAUGCAAAUGUCUAUUUCAUUCCCCUUGCCCCGAGAAAAUUUGGGAGCAACAUUUGUAGAGCUGAGUCGACCUUUGACAAAAUACAGC
This 297-nucleotide long non-coding RNA is filed under the name Setaria viridis. RNAcentral's name for it is "long non-coding RNA (SVIR_LNC002584)". The record is from RNAcentral. Lineage: Eukaryota; Viridiplantae; Streptophyta; Magnoliopsida; Poales; Poaceae.